Molecule: ribosomal RNA, 26 nt
Filed under: Biatriospora sp. MUT 4883
Lineage: Eukaryota; Fungi; Ascomycota; Dothideomycetes; Pleosporales; Biatriosporaceae
Description: partial 28S ribosomal RNA
Source: RNAcentral
UUGACCUCGGAUCAGGUAGGGAUACG